This is a non-coding RNA of Pelobates cultripes (western spadefoot toad), 2066 nucleotides long. The record is from the annotation of a GenBank genome assembly. NCBI's taxonomy places the organism in Eukaryota, Metazoa, Chordata, Amphibia, Anura, Pelobatidae.
AUGUGCAUCUGUAUGUGUCAGUGUGUCUGUGUAUCUGUUUGUGUGUUUGUAUCAAUGUGUCUGUAUGUGUGUGUCUCUAUCUGUAUGUGUGUCUGUGCCUGUGUGUCUCUCUCUGUGUCUGUAUGUGUGUGUGUUAUCUAUAUGUGUGUUUGUAUCUGUGUGUCUAUCUGUAUGUGCCAGUGUUUGUCUGUGUAUGACUGUUUAUAUGUAACUGCAUGUGUGUACCUAUGUGUCUGUGUAUGUGUGCCAGUGUGUGUAUAUGUAAGUACAUGUAUGUAUAUGUGCAUACAUCUCAGCAUUUCGCCUACACUACACACAAAUACAAUCCUGCAUCCAAAUGUCAACACUACAAAAAAAAACACCACCAUAUUCAAAAACCACACUACAGAAAAAUGCACUCCUGCAUUCAAAUGCCAAUACGUGCAAACACACCCGUACAUUCACUCACACACACUCCAUACAAAAACAUGCUUACAUUCAAACACACAAACAGUGCUUGGUGCUAAAUACAUAAAAAUAAACAAAACACUGCUCAGUGCUAAAAACAUUAUAAAAAUGUGCAGGUGUUUUUUUUACAUUUUAAAUACACAUAACCACUCCCAUAUACACAUACAGCCAAUCACAAGCAUCUAUCCCCACACUCAUACAUGUGCCCUUGUCUCCCUAGCUGCGUUUUCACCCCAGGGCCUGUGUUGGAGGAAUGGGCCCCUUUAGGGCCCAAAUCCCACUGUUACUCUUUUACGCUCCAAUCUCCUUUCUUUGUGUACUGUGUGAGGGAUAUAUCACAAUGCUAAACACCUGUACAACUCACCACAGUGUGUGCUUAAGGAUUGGUAAAUGUACAUAUAUAUAUCUGUGUGCAUUUAAAUAGGCUACUUUGUGUUUGUUCUAAAUAGUAAUGAAAUAGAAAUGGCAAUUUUGAACUCAUUUGCUUAUAUUAGAUGAGCAUUCUAACCAUUAAAACUACCCACGAUUUGUGCAAAAGCUGUAAUAUAAAGUGCAGCUUGAAUCGUCCUCUUUAUUCUCUUUAUAAUAGUUGUAAUAAUUUGUAAAACUCACCAUACUGAGGAGCCUAACUCAGAGCAGGAUUAACCAUUCCUAGGUCCCAGGGGUUAGACAGGGGGUCCGGAACCAUCAAUUUGUUUGGCCCUAUUAACCAUACCUAUGUAGAGGAUUAGGGAAGGGGCAAACUGGUAACUUGCCUAGGGCCCCGUGAGAUCUAAACCCUUCUGUGGCCCACCCUCUCGCUUGGUUACAUCACUGAGGAAACAAUGCUUUCUCCAGCAUAUACCGGUACAUUUUCGUACAGCAUAUGUUGUAUACGGCAAAAGCAACUUGUACAGGUUCUCUCAGAGCUUCAUAAAUGUGCAGUAUGUUUGUAGGCAGAAUAGUUGCAUUCAGGUUUUUAUUGUGAUAGAUAACCUACAUAUCACAAUCCCACCAUGGACAGGGCUUAUGUGAUAUACAGAAUAUACAGGAGUUUAUGUGAUAUGCAGAGUGUACAGAGGUUAAUGUAAUACGCAGAGUGUACAUGAGAUUGUGUGACAUGCAGAGUGUACAGUAGUUUAGUGAUAAGCAGAGUGUACUGGAGGUUAUGUGAUAUACAGAGUGUACAGAGGUUUAUGUGAUAUUAAGAGUGUAGAGCAGUUUAUAUGAUAUGCAGAGUGUAAAGGGGUUUAUGUGAUAUGCAGAGUGGACAUGAGUUAAUGUGACAUGCAGGAGAUUAUGUGACAUGCAGAGUGUACAGGGGUUUAUGUGAUAUGAAGCGUGUACAGAGGUUUAUGUGAUAUUUAGAGUGUACAGAGGUUUAUAUGAUACACAGAGUGUACAUGAGAUUGUGUUACUUAUAUCCAGUAUUACUUUACUGACAGAGUAGUGGAUGCAUGGAAUAGGCUUCCAGCUGAAGUGGUAGAGGUUUUUUCAGAUGUAGAGGUGAUUAUUACUGCUGGGCUGGCAUAUCAAGGCUUAGUUUUGGAAAACCUGAAGAUAUGUGUAAAUGUUUACAGAACUUUGCACCCCCAUCAUCCUGCCCUGGAAAAACUCCAUCUCUUCAGCGUUUAUAUCUG